GGGUUAGUAGUUAAUAUUAUAUAAUGGGAGUCUUGUAAACUUCAGUAAGUUGAUACUCUAACCCU
This 65-nucleotide transfer RNA is filed under the name Paphia euglypta. RNAcentral's name for it is "tRNA-Thr". Lineage: Eukaryota; Metazoa; Mollusca; Bivalvia; Venerida; Veneridae. The record is from RNAcentral.